GACGGGGACCCGCACAAGCGGUGGAUGAUGUGGAUUAAUCGAUGCAACGCGAAAACCUUACCUACCCUUGACAUGUCCGGAAUCCUGCAGAGAUGCGGGAGUGCCCGAAAGGGAAUCGGAACACAGGUGCUGCAUGGCUGUCGUCAGCUCGUGUCGUGAGAUGUUGGGUUAAGUCCCGCAACGAGCGCAACCCUUAUCAUUAGUUGCUACGCAAGGGCACUCUAAUGAGACUGCCGGUGACAAACCGGAGGAAAAUGAAAAUGACGUCAAGUCCUCAUGGCCCUUAUGGGUAGGGCUUCACACGUCAUACAAUGGUCGGUACAGAGGGUUGCCAAGCCGCGAGGUGGAGCCAAUCCCAGAAAGCCGAUCGUAGUCCGGAUUGUUCUCUGCAACUCGAGAGCAUGAAGUCGGAAUCGCUAGUAAUCGCGGAUCAGCAUGUCGCGGUGAAUACGUUCCCGGGUCUU
This 464-nucleotide ribosomal RNA is filed under the name uncultured Thiobacillus sp. RNAcentral's name for it is "bacterial SSU rRNA". It matches the Rfam family "Bacterial small subunit ribosomal RNA", at positions 912 to 1382 of the family's 1533-position model. The record is from RNAcentral. Lineage: Bacteria; Pseudomonadati; Pseudomonadota; Betaproteobacteria; Nitrosomonadales; Thiobacillaceae.